This 392-nucleotide ribosomal RNA is filed under the name uncultured bacterium. Its description in RNAcentral is "bacterial SSU rRNA". It matches the Rfam family "Bacterial small subunit ribosomal RNA", at positions 30 to 416 of the family's 1533-position model. The record is from RNAcentral.
AUUGAACGCUGGCGGCAUGCCUUACACAUGCAAGUCGAACGGCAGCACGGGAGCUUGCUCCUGGUGGCGAGUGGCGAACGGGUGAGUAAUACAUCGGAACGUACCCUGAAGUGGGGGAUAACGUAGCGAAAGUUACGCUAAUACCGCAUAUCCUGUGAGGCAGGAAAGAGGGGGAUCGCAAGACCUCUUGCUUUAGGAGCGGCCGAUGUCGGAUUAGCUAGUUGGUGAGGUAAAGGCUCACCAAGGCGACGAUCCGUAGCGGGUCUGAGAGGAUGAUCCGCCACACUGGGACUGAGACACGGCCCAGGACUCCUACGGGAGGCAGGCAGUGGGGAAUUUUGGGACAAUGGGCGCAAGCCUGAUCCAGCCAUGCCGCGUGAGUGAAGAAGGCC